This 253-nucleotide ribosomal RNA is filed under the name uncultured bacterium. RNAcentral's name for it is "partial 16S ribosomal RNA". It matches the Rfam family "Bacterial small subunit ribosomal RNA", at positions 524 to 776 of the family's 1533-position model. The record is from RNAcentral.
UACGAAGGUCCCAAGCGUCAUCCGGAUUUAUUGGGUUUAAAGGGUGCGUAGGCGGGCUAUUAAGUCAGUGGUGAAAUCCUGCAGCCUAACUGUAGAAUUGCCAUUGAUACUGAUGGUCUUGAGUACAUUUGAAGUGGGCGGAAUGUGUCAUGUAGCGGUGAAAUGCUUAGAUAUGACACAGAACACCGAUUGCGUAGGCAGCUCGCUAAACUGUAACUGACGCUGAGGCACGAAAGCGUGGGGAGCGAACAGG